RNAcentral lists this ribosomal RNA (1449 nucleotides) under uncultured organism. Its description in RNAcentral is "SSU rRNA". It matches the Rfam family "Bacterial small subunit ribosomal RNA". The record is from RNAcentral.
AACGCUAGCUACAGGCUUAACACAUGCAAGUCGAGGGGCAGCAUGGUCUUAGCUUGCUAAGGCCGAUGGCGACCGGCGCACGGGUGAGUAACACGUAUCCAACCUGCCGUCUACUCUUGGACAGCCUUCUGAAAGGAAGAUUAAUACAAGAUGGCAUCAUGAGUCCGCAUGUUCACAUGAUUAAAGGUAUUCCGGUAGACGAUGGGGAUGCGUUCCAUUAGAUAGUAGGCGGGGUAACGGCCCACCUAGUCUUCGAUGGAUAGGGGUUCUGAGAGGAAGGUCCCCCACAUUGGAACUGAGACACGGUCCAAACUCCUACGGGAGGCAGCAGUGAGGAAUAUUGGUCAAUGGGCGAGAGCCUGAACCAGCCAAGUAGCGUGAAGGAUGACUGCCCUAUGGGUUGUAAACUUCUUUUAUAAAGGAAUAAAGUCGGGUAUGGAUACCCGUUUGCAUGUACUUUAUGAAUAAGGAUCGGCUAACUCCGUGCCAGCAGCCGCGGUAAUACGGAGGAUCCGAGCGUUAUCCGGAUUUAUUGGGUUUAAAGGGAGCGUAGAUGGAUGUUUAAGUCAGUUGUGAAAGUUUGCGGCUCAACCGUAAAAUUGCAGUUGAUACUGGAUAUCUUGAGUGCAGUUGAGGCAGGCGGAAUUCGUGGUGUAGCGGUGAAAUGCUUAGAUAUCACGAAGAACUCCGAUUGCGAAGGCAGCCUGCUAAGCUGCAACUGACAUUGAGGCUCGAAAGUGUGGGUAUCAAACAGGAUUAGAUACCCUGGUAGUCCACACGGUAAACGAUGAAUACUCGCUGUUUGCGAUAUACGGCAAGCGGCCAAGCGAAAGCGUUAAGUAUUCCACCUGGGGAGUACGCCGGCAACGGUGAAACUCAAAGGAAUUGACGGGGGCCCGCACAAGCGGAGGAACAUGUGGUUUAAUUCGAUGAUACGCGAGGAACCUUACCCGGGCUUAAAUUGCAGAUGAAUUACGGUGAAAGCCGUAAGCCGCAAGGCAUCUGUGAAGGUGCUGCAUGGUUGUCGUCAGCUCAUGCCGUGAGGUGUCGGCUUAAGUGCCAUAACGAGCGCAACCCUUGUUGUCAGUUACUAACAGGUUCUGCUGAGGACUCUGACAAGACUGCCAUCGUAAGAUGUGAGGAAGGUGGGGAUGACGUCAAAUCAGCACGGCCCUUACGUCCGGGGCUACACACGUGUUACAAUGGGGGGUACAGAGGGCCGCUACCACGCGAGUGGAUGCCAAUCCCCAAAACCUCUCUCAGUUCGGACUGGAGUCUGCAACCCGACUCCACGAAGCUGGAUUCGCUAGUAAUCGCGCAUCAGCCACGGCGCGGUGAAUACGUUCCCGGGCCUUGUACACACCGCCCGUCAAGCCAUGGGAGCCGGGGGUACCUGAAGUGCGUAACCGCGAGGAGCGCCCUAGGGUAAAACUGGUGACUGGGGCUAAG